GUUGGCCUCUAGCAUCCUUGAAAUGUCCAAACCAGAAUCGUAAGCCCUGAAAAAAUGGUCCUCGAUAUUUUUCAAUGCUUCCAACAACUCCCUCCCAUUUUUGGGUUCAUCGAUUACUCUCAAUCCCGUACUCUCCCCUUGGCCUACUACAUAUGCAUUAUCUCCACUUCUCACAUCUAUAAUUCCAUUCUCCUUAUGACCCACAUCACCAUUUUCCACAUUCGAAGCUUCACCCUCAUUCAUUACCUUCUCUCCAUCCUCUUCCAGCUCU
Molecule: unclassified non-coding RNA, 271 nt
Filed under: Hevea brasiliensis (rubber tree)
Lineage: Eukaryota; Viridiplantae; Streptophyta; Magnoliopsida; Malpighiales; Euphorbiaceae
Source: RNAcentral